This 14407-nucleotide long non-coding RNA is filed under the name Capsicum annuum. Its description in RNAcentral is "long non-coding RNA (CANN_LNC013444)". The record is from RNAcentral. Lineage: Eukaryota; Viridiplantae; Streptophyta; Magnoliopsida; Solanales; Solanaceae.
CCCAACAUACGCCAUAACCCAUUAAAAUCCACCUAACUCUCUCCUAGGCCAUUCAAUUAAGGCCUAAUUUCAGCAUCCCCAUCAGCCGAUUUUUCCUCCUUAUUCUCAAAUAGGCCCAUACCAACCCCCUGUGACCCGUUCCGGCCCAAUUCCCUUAACUCUUAACUUCUUUUUCUUCAAACCAAGGGAAGAAACAUAGUAGUAGUACUACGACAACACCAACCAAACGUACAACCUUAUCAAUAAUUCAACAACCUGAAAUAUCGAUAAUCCCAAUAAUUUAAACGUUGAUAGCUUUCAGCAUUAAUGUUUUCACCCAUAAACGAUGAUGAUAACCCAUCCACAACCUCAGCCAGCAACCAAAUCACCCCCAAAAACCCAUAUUCCGUGAAACCAGAACCCAUUGACCCAUUUUUAGCCAAGGNNNNNNNNNNNNNUCUUUCCCUUUCAGUUCGCAUGGAUAGCGUGACCUCCACGUGAGUUCAUUCGUCGAAGGACCUCGAGUCUUCUAGAAUGAGUCAAUGUGUCUCCCCCAAUGGCCCAAUUCUACAAAUUUCGGGUUCAUUGGUAUAGAUUCACACACUCGAUUGUUUCUUAUUGGUUCGCGAAGAGAACUCCACUUUAUAGGUUGAAAAAUUUUUAAACCCCUGGGAAGAAUCCAAAAAUGAGUACGAAAGGGGAAACCCGAUGUUAUCCUUUUCAAGGGUGGAAAGAAACCCUAGCAUGAUGGAUUUCUCUGUAAAGAGGUAGAGGUUAGAGGCUGUUAGGGGGAUUAUUUUUCAAUCGGAGAGAGCCCUAAAAGAAACCUUAGAAGUCUCUCUACAAAAUAGUUGAUCAAAAAAAAUGAGGAUUUCUUUUAUCUCGUUUCUCCUUUUCUUUCCCUUUUGAGUUGGUAGUUUUAAAAGUAAAGGUGGGUUUAAAAUAUUUUCAGAAAAGCUGAGGGUUGAAAAUAUUUAGUUUGAAAAUAUGGGGGGGUUUCAAAAUCUCUAAGAGGAAAAGAAAAGGGACACUCUGUUGGUGGUCGACGUCGCGAGAUUUCGAUAGCGACAAGUUUGCUAAUAGCUCGUUGUUCUAUUUGCUUCGCCAAAAGAGGUAAAUGCACGCUCGUCCCUCUUUCUGCUUCAUUUUGAUGUUUCUUGCUUCAUCCCACUUUCUUCGUAGAAGUAGUUAUCUGUGUAUCGUGAAUGAUACUGGGGUGUCUGUUUAGGCUGUCUGUUGUAGAGGUCUUAAAGACCACAGAGCACAGUUUGCUGAAAUUAUUGCUUGUCAUAUAAUUAUGUGUGGUGUCAAAUUGCUAGCUUAACGGUUAAGGAAUACUUCUUGAGUCUCACAUGCAUGUCUCAACUUUGUAAUCUGCUACUUGAUUUAACCUUGUUAAUUAGUUUUUCGAUUCGCUGCUAUGUAUUGGUAUUGAUCGUGGAUUUAAUCCAAUGUUUCACUUCACUAGUUAUCCGGCGUAUCAUGUUAUAAUUGGUAAUACAUAAAAGUUUCACGUGUUAAUAGUUGUAGGGAUAAUAAUAUCCUAUUACAAAUGAUCCUACGUCAAGUUCGUGUUUUGCAUUUAUUUCAUAGUUUCAGGGUGCGGGUAUGUUGUUCUAUCUGAUCUCCUGGGUAAGGUUCAGUAUUUUUACUUGUUUAGUAAGUGUAGAACUGCCAGAGUUCUGUUUACCUGAUUCGAUGGUUAGUGUCGCGUGUUUUGGCGCUUAUCAAAGUUCUGUUGAAAUUUUGUUGAUCUUUUCAUGACUAAGGUGGCCUAUUUUUGUUUCGUUUGAUAAAUUUUGGGUUUCCAAAGUUCGUUUACCUAAUCUCAGUGUUCCUUUCAUUAUGGGAUUGUAAAGUUUGAACUUGUUAUUUCACCUUCGAGUUCAUUCUAAGUCGAUAUUUCUACUUUUUGGAUCCCCAAGGGAAAUGUAAUUGUCUUAUUGAAAGAGGAUGGGUAGGGUCCCUUCGAUAUUGUAUUUGAGUCUGAAUGAUAUUGUAUAAUGAAGAUAUGAUCUUGACUUUCAAAUGACCCGGCUUAUGAACAUCCUUCGCAUUUUGUUCUAAGCCUGAAUGUUUAAAUUUUGAGGUUAUAAUAUGCGAAAAGAUUAUUUUGACCAUUAAGAGAAACGAGUCUUUCGUUAUGUGUUUGGGACUCCCCGUGUUUCAUUCUUGGUGUUUUAUAUAGUGUUCUAACGAUGUGUUUGAUGUAAAUUAUUUGGGUGUAUUACUAGUGUUAGCUAAAGUUCCUCAACUCAUUAAUUAAUAUGAAAGAUUUAAGCUGGUGGCAGUGCAUUUGAUGUAAGGGACAUUCUCCCGCUUUGCUCAAACUAAUUUUCUUUGAUUGCCUCUCCAUGGUUCGAUAUUUUGAGUUUUCUAUUUGUUAUUUUCCAACUAAUCUUAUAGGAUUUUGAGGGUACGCAUAGGGAAGAUUUUGACUCAGAAUGUUGUUUGCCUAUAUGAACGCACCCUCACACUUCUCAUUAGCCUUAUGGCUUUGUUUUGACUGACUAGGAGUUAGUUUGCUCGGUGAUGUCUUUCAUUUAGAUAGUCAUAUGUCAUGCAUCUUAUUUUUUUUAUUUAUUUCCUUGAUUUAAUUUUUGUGUUUCUCUCCUUUAACCCCCCUUUUCCUUUUCUUUCUUAGUUGAUCAAAUAUUAAUGGUCAUUACUUUCUUGCUUUGCAUAAACCCGCUUGAGAGUCCAAACGGACUUUUUCCCUUGCGUUUCGCAGUGGGCCAUGGAGGCCCAUCCUUUAGGAGACUUUGAAAAGCAAAUUGCAUGGCAUACAGAUACAAGAAGUCGAAAGAGGAAUAAUGGGUUAAAAUCCCAUACUUAAAGCGACGAUGAAGCCCGAGCCUCAUUUCUGUUUCUUUAUUUAAUGUCAUUAUCUACCUAUUGUUGUCAUUUUAUUAUUAUUUAUUUCCUCUUUUUUCUGUCAUUAUUCAUUCAUUUAGGCCUCGAAGCCGAAUUUGUAUUUAAUAUAGGUGAAGUGAGACUCGAGCUAAAGCCUCGCAAACAAAGAAUUAGGGUAGGUGAAAAUGGGUCGAAAACCAAACUAGAUUAGGACAGGGUCGAUGGUUUGGGCUUAAAAUCCCAAAUCACCACUUCCCCGCUUUUCCCCUUUUCCUUUCAUUUACUUGUUUACUUAUCUCUUUGCGAACCUAGUUAAAUCCCUAACUAAGUCGCUAAAAAACUGAUUUCGUGAAAACCUUUUCCUUAGUCAAUUACUUUUCCAACAAACCGAUUUUCCAAAGUUAAUCAAAAGAAUGUUUUCAAACAGUCUAGAUAACCGCAAGUUAGUGGACGUUGAAGGUGCCUAAAACCUUCCUAAAACGUUAAUAGGAACCUCUUACUCAGAAUCUCUAAGUUAAAACGAUUUUUCUGUUUUGAUCGUUUUAAGUAACUCUCUAAAGGUUUCUUAAUUCCUUUUCAAAUUUAAGUGGCGACUCUAUCAAAAGUCAAAAAUUUCCGCAAAACAGAAAUGGCGACUCUGCUGGGGACCUCUAACUAGGUUCUAACCAAAUGUUUAAUUUCGUCUUUUGAUUAACUGUUUAUGUAUUUAUGUGAGUCGAUUCUGUAGAGUUUAAUUAUCGCAUCUCAUGGCAUAUUCCUACAUCAUUUAAACUAUUUUGGGGUUUCGUGGGUAUCCCGGCCCCUAUUGAUCAAUUCCAAAAAUGUGUUAGAAAUACAAACAGUUUAUUAGCACGUGAGUCGUCUGAUGGCUGUUUGUAUUUUCAAACUCAAGUUGUCCGCUUGAGAACUAGUAUUCAAACCCACUCUAGAUACCUAGGAUAGAGCGAAACCAAAACCCUAUUUCAGGCAUGAGCUUAGGAUGACCCAAUACCCAAGCGGGGUAUUUGGCCCAUUAGAAAAUUUGUCAUGCGUCUAUUGACCCCGAGUCAAUUAAUGACAAACCAUAUUUAUGUGUUGAAGAAAAUGUAUGCCUGUCUAAUUCAAUCUAUUAUCCAUUGGGGGUCGGGAGAAGACUUGCUUUACUCACUUUUGUAUAAGUAUGCCUCAAUCGUACACCAAUUGACGAAGGAAUUGAAGCAAGUUAAGCAAGAAAUUGAUCGAUUUGGGAGGUUGCAUCUAAGGCACAGUUUGAACAUCAAUGGAUGUCACCAAUAUAAGAAAUGGACGAAGCUAAGAAGGUGAAAGUUGAUAGAAGAAGCACUCAGGAAUUAGUAUUUUCUAUCCCCAGUGUGGGAACGUGUCUUUUUCAUGUUAUUUCCCUUUCCCUAAAGAUUGUAUCCCUUUUAUUAUAUAUUUUGUAGGAAUUUAUGCCCUUUUAGAGUUUACAAAAGUUGGGGGAUAAUUGAUUGACCUUAAGCAAGCAUAUAUUUUUUUUCAAAAAUCGUAGGCCUGAACCCUUGGCUCAAAAAGGGUCACCCCAGCUAGGCUAUGCAUUAUUAUGUUUUGUGUGAUAUAACUAUUUUAUGUGCUUAUGUGCAUUUGUUUGGAUCAAAGGCAAGUUUAUCCACUAUGUCGUAUGGAUGAAUUUGGCUAUGACUCAAACAAAUCUAUGUGGUUAUUUCCUGUCAAAUAUUUUGCAUUACUUAUCACAUACGGAAACUAACACAUCUGCCUUUGAGUUGUUUUACUUUACAGAUAAUAGAAAUUACUCUGUGUUAACAUAAACUGGCAGAACAUCUCUACUUCACCCGAUCGAAAGCGCACAAAAUCCCAUCCUCUAACAAUCAUUCAAAAAUGAUAGAAAAUUAUGAAGAAAGCACACUGACUAUCCGGGACAAUGUGAUAGCAGAGCAGAAUAAGAUGAUUGCGGAACUUGCAAGAAAGUUAGAAAUACUUCAGAAGAAAUAAAUCACACUCUGGAUUUGGCUAACUUGGCCAUUACCGUCAAUGCCCCCGCUCCAGGAGGACACAGGACUCCACUCCAAAUUCCUCCCCUCAGUACCCCUACUCUUGGGGAUCAGCCAAAUAAUGUAUUGUCCGUCUCCGCUCCUCCAUUUGUCCAAAAUACCAAUCAUGAAAAUAACCCAGACGUCUACCCUCUGCAAAAUCCACAGAACCCGUCUCUGAAUCCAUUCCCAAAUCCUCAAAACACAUUUUCAAAUCAACAAAAUGCAUUCCCAAAUCCGCAAGAUUCACUCUCAAACCCACAAAAUACGUCAAACCUACCUUCAAAUCCCCCAAAUUCAUUUUCAAAUCCACAAAAUCCUUCUCAGAUUCCGUUAAACUAAUCGCAAAGUCCGCAUAACCUUCCCAAUUUCCAAAACUUCCUCCCCACUUACCAACCAAAUUCCUUUCAUCCAUAAAAUCAAGCCUCCCUUCCAAAUCCCUCUCAGGCCAUCGUAUCCCCUGAUAUCUAUGAACUCCUUUCUAAUUGCGAGAUGGACCAUUACGAGGAGAAUGAGAAAGAGUGGAGGACCGAGCAUGAAAGAAAUUUACUAGCUAUGGAGGAAGAGAUCAUGAGGAUCAAAGAGUCUCAUGGAGUCAGGGACCACGACAGUUUGGGGUAUGACGAUUUAUGUGUUCACCCUGGAGUAGACCUACUGGAUGGGUACAAAAUUCCUAAGUUUGAAAUAUUUGACGGUACCAAAAAUCCAAUGGACUAUCUGAGAAGGUACUGUGAGUAACUGAUAGGGAUAGGUAAAAAUGAGGCAUUGUUGAUAUGCCUAUUCAGUCGAAGUUUAAGCAGCAAAGCCUUAGAAUAGUUCAUGUCUCAGGAGCCGAAAAGAUGGACAGGAUGGAAAGAAUUAGCCAAGGUUUUCCUUGACAGGUUUGCAUUCAACAUUGAAAUAGUCCGUGAUCGAUAUUCACUAGAUCGGAUCAAACGGAGGAAUGAUAAGAGUUUUCGAGACUAUGCUUUUCGUUGGAGGAAAGAAGCUGCCAAAGUGCAACCCCCAUGUCCGAGGAAGAAAUGGUAUCCAUGUUCUCUCGCACACAAGAAAUAGAAUAUUAUACCAGGAUGAUGUCAGAUGUUAGGGAAACUUUUACGAAUUUAGUAAAAAUAGGAGAAUCAUUGGAAGAAGGUAUUCGUACAGGGAAAAUUGCCAAGACCCCGGCAUUAUCUAGGGCUGCCAUGUUUUCGAAGAAGAAAAAGGAAGAUGUAGGCACGAUUUCUGCUAAUCUUAUUGCAAAAAACAAAAAAGAAGAUCAACUCUAGGAAUGUUUUCUCUUCUCCGCCAUCACCAAGCUUUCAACAUGUAUUCUAUGCCCACCCCCAAUACCAAGCUCUACAGCUAAAUAUCUCCCCCCAAUACCGAGCCCCACUCCCAAACCUCCAAUCCUCAUACCAAGCUCCACAGGCAAAUAUCUUUCCCCAAUACCUAGUUCCACAUCCAAAUUAUCAGUCUUAUUUCCAAUCCACUCCUCAAAAUAACCCAACAAAUUCCCAAGCGCCUCCAAAUUAUCACCAAGUACCUCCUCCUACAAAUCAAAUCCAUUAUAACCCCCCACAUCCAAACCACGAAAAGAAAUUCCCCAAAACUUCACACCACAAAAUGAAAGUCGCACCCAAUUUUUUGAAAGAUUGAAGAAAUGCUGGUCAUUUGCAACCAAUACAGCCAAGGACUGUCAAUCCUAACUCUUGAUUUUUUAAUGCAAGUCAACAUUGUUCCUAUCAUUAAGGAGCAGUGAGGCACAGUACUAAGGAUUGUAUCUACCUGAAACAUAGGAUCCAGGAUUUAAUCGAUCAUAAGGUCAUCACGCUCGAGGCACCUACACCAAAUGUUAAUAGUAAUCCAUUGCCCAACCAAUGGGGACCUAUAGUUAACAUGAUUGAAAUAGAGGAUGAAUAGAUGUUAAAUAAUGAUGGUCUUGGGGAUGGGAUAGGAAAUCUGUUCAAGGGAUGCAAUGUUGUACCGGAAGAUUUUUUAAAACACAGUUGGGUAAAGAAGGUUGCACCAGGAGAGGCUUUACAAAAUUAGACUUCCACUCUGCUCCUAAUUCGUCACCCGUCGUGGUAGAUGGAAGGGCAAUUACUAAUAGUUUUUAAAAUCGGUGAUGAUCCAGAGAAGGCCCCAUGAUCCACCCUUUUAUGUUUCAAAUUUUUGUUUCGUGUUUUAAAACUUUCAAAAAGGCAUGGGCCCACAUUUAUGUGGGUCAUAAUCCAUGGUUUUUAUUUAUUUAUUUUCGAAAAGGCCUCCCUUUAUUUAAGAAGUUAUUUUUUUAAAAUAUGAUUAUCUAGCUUGGUUUAUUUUGGUAGCAUUAAUUUAAAAACCUGCCAAUGUCAUGUCAUGUCAAGGGUUAGACGAACAAGGCAAAGGAAAUAAUGAUGAACAGAUAAGGUGAUAAGGAGCAGCUAGUAGUAGAUAUAGAGGAAUGUGAAAAUCAAAAGAAGCCCAACCUGGAAGAGCUCUGAUUUUGUCAUAGAUGGAUAGCACAGAGUGGACCAAACCAAUCAAUUCUGAUGUGGUAAAGAGAUAUUAUGUUUGAAGGACGUUCUAGUUUUCGUGUUUCUUUAGUUAAUUUACUUGUAAUCACGUUCGUAGUAAUGUUUUUUUCUAGUAUGUAACUGCCUAGAAUCCUUUCCCUUUAUGUACGAACUACGUUUGACCUAAAUUCCCAAGAAAGGGAUUCAUAAUCGGCCUAUGUCGGCUUCGGUCAACCCCUUGGGACAAUUUAUCCUUUCCCUUUAUUUACGAACUAUGUUUGACCUGAAUUCCCAAGAAAGGGAUACGUUGGCGGCCUAUAUUGGCUUCGGUCAACCCCUUAGGACAAUUUAUCCUUUCCCUUUAUGUAUGAACUACGUUUGACCUGAAUUCCUAAGAAAGGGAUACGUAGGCGGCUGCUUUGGUCAACCCUUAGGACAAUUUAUCCUUUCACCCUAUGUAUGAACUACGUGAUGACCUGAAUGCCGAAUAAAAGGGAUACGUAGGUGGACUAUGUUGGCAUUGGUCAACCCAUUAAUUUCUUUUGUAUAUCCCUAGCGUAGUUCUGAACUACAUUUGACCUGAUUCAUGUUUCAACGAGAUACGUAGGUGCCCCAAUGGCCCGAUCAUAUAACCCCAGAAAAUGGAAACUGGGGAAGAAGUUUUGAGAAGGAAUCUCGAAAAUUCACAAGAGUAGAUCGGCAUCCAACAAAGAGACUGAAGAUCAGCAAAGACUUCAGAUCCACUCAGAUUGGUAUCAUCUCAAACAACUCUAAACUGGGGCAAAAAUUUUGAGGGAAGACCUCAAAAUUUCCACCAGAUGCUGGAACAUAUCUCAAAUUCCCCAGCACGAGAGGUUAAGGCCAAACUUUUAAAGUAGUCAACUGCGACAAAGUCUAGGCAAGCUCAAUCUCUUUCUAUGAUAGAACUACUUGAAGAAAACCUCUAACAAUGAUCAUGAGCUUUGGGAAUCAUUCGUCGAAUAUAGUCAAAACCAUGAGGAGGACGUUCAUUGAGCUAGUACAUGACAUGACUGGCAGAGAUUUUCUAAAGUUUUACAGAAGCUUUUGAAACUAUUUUCUAAAAAUUAAGACUAUUUUCAAAAAUCUUACAACUCACUUAUUUAGUACUUACCUAGACAUCACUCGGGAUGAAGUGUCAGGACGGAAGUACCGAUAUGGCAAAAUGCCCAAGAGAUGGCGAACAGCAAAUCAAGGAUCGAAGAAGGUCAACACAGAGUAAUUUCAUUAAAACUAAUCAUUUUUCUGUGGAUGCAGGGAUCAAUACAAAAAAAUGAGAGUUUCUUUCAAAAAUCCCCAGCAAAUUGGGAGCCACACCAGAGUACCAAUGCUCAAGAAUGGUAAUUUAGGGUAGCCCUAAAAAUGGGUUUAAUACCCAUUUAUUGAGGACCUUUUGAUUUGUCCACCUCAUUUCUUGAGAUCAUGGAACACAAACAAAGGUGUAUUGUCUUCUUUGUAAAUAUUGUAUUUAGAAGUUGCCUAAAAAUAGUCGCUAGCAAAACCGACUUUGUGUCUACUAAUCAUCUACCUUGAGUACAAGUACAUGUAGAAAGAAAGACGCAGACAAAUGAACUCAGGUAAAAUUAUUUUAAAAUUUGCCAAGAGGGCCAUUGCAUAUCAUUGCCGCAAAGACCAUUACAUAUCAUUUCCUCAAAGGCCAUUACAUAUAAUUGCCGCAAAGGCCAUUACAUAUCAUUGCCUCAAAGGCCAUUUCAUAUCAUUGCCACAAGGGCCAUUGCAUAUCAUUGCCGCAAAGGCCAUAGAAUAUCAUUGCCGCAAGGGCCAUUGCAUAUUAUUGCCACAAAGGCCAUUACAUAUCAUUGCCGCAAAGGCCAUUACAUAUCAUUACCACAAAGGCCAUUACAUAUCAUUGCUGCAAAAGCCAUUACAUAUCAUUUCCGCAGAGGCCAUUACAUAUCAUUGCCGCAAUAGCCAUUACAUAUCAUUGUCACAAAGGCCAUUACAUAUCAUUGCUGCGAGGGCAAUCGCAUAUCAUUGCCGCAAGGGCCAUCUUAUAUCAUCACCCAAGAUGGCUGUUCAAUAUAUAUGUGGAUGCGCUAGACACAAUGCUGGUGUCGAGGAUAUCAUCAGCAUUCAAUAUAUCUAUUGACGUGCUAGACACAAUGUUGGCAUCAAGGAUAUCUUAUUAUUUUAUAAAUCAACAUCUUAAUGCAUCAAGAGCACACGAUUUGAAAGGACGCCUUUAAGUUGUUAUCUAAGGAUGAAUGAUAUAUAAGAUUUCCUAGAAAUUGACAAUUUGAGGGUCAUCUAUAAGUCAUAUUAUUUGAAAUAGGAUAGUAUGCAAGAUCACCUAUGAGUUGAUAGCUUGCAGGCCAUCUGUAAGACACAACAACAUCCUAACUGUAUAGUGUGAAAGAUCGCCCAAAAGUCGAUAGUUCAAAGGUUAUCCAUAAGUCGCAACUAAAUCCUUACCAAAAAUAUGCAAAAUUAUCAAAUUGAUACGUCCAAAGGUUCUCUAUAAGCCGCAUCAUAUCCAAGAUCGAUUAUGUGUAUGAUUACCCAAAGACUAACAAUUUAAGGGAUUAUCUAUAAGUCAUGUUGUAUCCAAGGUCGGAUGAUGUGCAGGAACACUUGAAAGUUAGCGAUUAGAGGGAUAUCUAUAAGCCAUCUCUUAUCCAAAGUCGAAUAAUGUGCAGGAUUACCUAAAAGCUAACAAUUCAAAGGAUAUCUAUAAGUUUCCUCGUAUCCAACGUCAAAUAGUGCGCAAGAUUAUCCAAAGAUUGACAAUUUAAGAAAAACUUAUAAAUUGAUCAUCGGCUAUAACCGGAGAGGUUUUCAUUCCACAUACAACAAGUGAUAUAGGUAACCAAAAGGGUUGCCACUCCAGCACAAGAUUACACGGUUGUAGGGACCGUUCUGGAUAAAGUAUCGCCGGUGUCCCCCACUUGGAAGACACAUUCAACCGACAAAUGUCACAAUUAUACAACAACCAAGAGGGUUGUUGUGUUUGUUAUUGCCAGUUAUUUCAUUCCAAAUAGGUACAUGAAGAGAUGACUCCGCUUUUCAGGCCACAACUUACUUAAAGAUAUGGUAAAAGACUACAUACCUCUAUCGUGAAUUAUGUUUAGCACUAACACUUUUUGCUUGAAGCAUUUUCGAGAGCAUCCGAUAGGAUGAAAAUCUCAAAUCAAAACAACAGCUGUAGACGACUUCAAAGAGGAUGCAACACAAUGCGGAACUCUUUCUCAGUAGCAAAAUGGGACAUACUCUAGAGAGGGAUGUCAAACUCUCUAGACGCGAGCUAAAUGAUGAUCACCACCACCAUCUAACCACGCCUCUAUUAGAAGGCAUGUGGAUAUUUUUGGAUGUUCUUGUCUCAGUUUUACCUCUGGGAUAUUUUCUUAACUCAUACCGACGAAAACUUUCUUUUUCUUUCAAAUUCGGGUGGCAACGCACUUAGAGUUUUGGAAAUUAUAUUCAGGUAAAUUCUUGACUAUGGAUGUGAAGGAUACCACAUUCAUGGUUAAUAGGUUACAAUCCUCUUUUUCGCAACUCAAUCAACUUGUCACUCAUUCUGAGCCAAAGAUAGUCUGAAAUAAAAGACUAUCUUUUCUACCGAUUGAGUCGAACUACAAGCAGUCUGAUUUCCUGAAAUCUUGGGGAUAUGUAGGUUGGGAUCUAUGUAGAAAACUAGACUGCAUUCCAACCUCCCCCCAAAUCCCUCUAUUCCCCAGCUUUUCGGCUUUAUCGAGAAUUCCAAAAAUCGAGACAACUUGUGAAUUUUUUAAAAAUUGUGCUUUAAAUCAAGCCUUAUGAACUACAAGUAACCUUAAUUCUCAUGUAACCUGAGAUAUGUGAGAAACCCAAUACCGAGGUUCGGCCAUAAUUCUUGCAACUGGUACGAAAACCCACCUCUUUCCCAUUCGAAUUUGUGGUUGAACAAAAUUAGGAACGUCAACCUCCCUUUGCCAAGGGUUGCUUGCAUUCACCCUACCCAAAAAGAGGGAGCAAUUGUUGACACCUAAUUUUUGUUCUCCACGACUAAGUUUAAUCCCGAAUUUCUUGAAUAUUAAAUAAAAUCACAACAUAUAUUUUUUUUUGAACAAAGAUAUUUUUCACAAUUAUUCAGGUAAAUUUGUAAACUUUAAGUAAAGAUUAUAUAUUAUCGUGUUUUAUAUAUAUGAUAUCAUAUAAUUUGAUUACUUGUAUAUUUAUUAAAAUAUUAGAUUUUAAUUAAGUCUUAUUCCAAAAAUAUUUUUAAUAAGUUGAUUUUAAGUACUACGUGUUCUUGAAAUAGCUUAUACGGAAAUAAUUAAGUAAACAUAUGUGUGUGAGUUUAUCAAGACAAGAAGCUCAGGUUAAAUGAGGUAUUAAUUCAUUUUGAAUUUUGAUUCAGUUUAGCCAAUCUAUUAGGAACGCCAUAAUCGAAAUCCAAAUGGCCAUAAUUGCAAUGCAAUUGGCCAAUUGAUUUCAAUUUGGCCAAAGCCUAAAUAGAAUUGGCCAAUUCCCCAAUAAUUAAAAUAGCCUAAAGGUAGACCAGCUUUAGUACCACUAAACCCAAAGUCACAUCCUCCAAACGGCCCAACAUACGCCAGAAACCAUUAAAAUCCACAUAACUCUCUCCUAGCCCAAUCAAUUAAGGCCCAAUUUUAGCAUCCCAUCAGUCAAUGAGGAUUUUUUUAUCUCUUUUCUCCUCUUCUUUCUCUUUUGAAUUGGAAGUUUUAGAGGCAAAGGUGGGUUCAAAAUAUUUUCAGAAAAGCUGAGGGUUGAAAAUAUUUAGUUUGAAAAUCUGGGGGGUUUCAAAAUCUCUAAGAGAUAAAGCAAGGGGAAACUCUGUUGGUGGUCGACGUCACGAGAUUUCGAUAGCAACAAGUUUUCUGAUAGCUCAUCGUUCCGUUUGCUGCCCCGAAAGAGGUAAAUGCAUGCUCGUCCCUUUUUCUACUUCAUUUUGAUGUUUCCUGCUUCAUCCAUCUUUCUUCGUAGAAGUAGUUAUCUAUGUAUCGUGAAUGAUGCUGGGUUGUCUGUUUGGGCUGUCUGUUGUAAAGGUCUUUAAGACCACAGAGCAUAGUUUGCUGAAAUGGCUGCUUUUCGUGUAAUUAUAUGUGGUGUCAAAUCGCCAGCUUAGCUGUUAAGGAAUACUGCUUGAGUCUCACAUGCCUGUCUCAACUUAGUAAUCUGCUACUUGAUUUUCAAUUUGUUAAUUAGUUUUUCGAUUCGCUGCUGUGUAUUGGUAUUGAUCAUGGAUUUAAUCCACUGUUUCACUUCACUGGUUAGCCGACGUAUCAUGUUAUAAUUGGUAUUAUGUAAAAGUUUCACGUUUUAAUAGUUGUAGGUCUAAUAAUAUCCUGUUACAAAUGAUCCUACGUCAAGUUCGUGUUUUGCAUUUAUUUCAUAGUUUCAGGGUGCGGGUAUGUUGUUAUAUCUAAUUUCGCGGGUAAGGUUCAGUAUUUUUACUUGUUUAGUAAGUGUAGAGCUGCCAGAGUUUUGUUUACCUGAUUCGACGGUUAGAGUCGCGUGUUUUGGCACUUAUCAAAGUUCUGUUGGAAUUUUAUUGAUCUUUUCAUGACCAAGGUCUCCUAUUUUGGUUCUGUUUGAUAAAUUUGGGAUUUCCAAAGUUCGUUUACCUGAUCUCAGUGUUCCUUUCAUUAUGGUAUUGUAAAGUUUGAACUUGUUAUUUCACCUUCGAUUUCAUUCUAAGUCGAUAUGUCUAUUUGUUGGAUCCCCCAGGGAAAUGUAAUUGUCUUAUUGAAAUGUAAUUGUCUUAUUGAAAGAGGAUGGGUAGGGUCCCUUCGAUAUUGUAUUUGAGUCUGAAUGAUAUUGUAUAAUGAAGAUAUGAUCUUGACUUUCAAAUGACCCAGUUUAUGAACAUCCUUCGCAUUUCGUUCGAAGCCUGAAUGUUUAAAUUUUGAGGUUAUAAUAUGUGAAAAGAUUAUUUUGACCAUUAAGAGAAACGAGUCUUUCGUUAUGUGUUUGGGAUUCCCCGUGUUUCAUUCUUGGUGUUUUAUAUAGUGUUCUAACGAUGUGUUUGAGGUAAAUUAUUUGGGUGGAUUACUAGUGUUAGCUAAAGUUCCUCAACUCAUUAAUUAAUAUGAAAGAUUUAAGCAGGUGGCAGUGCAUUUGAUGUAAGGGAAAUUCUCCCGCUUUGCUCAAACUAAUUUUCUUUGAUUGCCUCUCCAUGGUCCGAUAUUUUGAGUUUUCUAUUUGUUAUUUUCCAACUAAUCUUAUAGGAUUUUGAGGGUAAGCAUAGGAAAGAUUUUGACUCAGAAUGUUGUUUGCCUAUAUGAACGCACCCUCACACUUCUCAUUAGCCUUAUGGCUUUGUUUUGACUGACUAGGAGUUAGUUUGCUCUGUGAUGUCUUUCCUUUAGAUAGUCAUAUGUCAUGCAUCUUAUUUUUUUUAUUUGUUUCCUUGAUUUAAUGUUUGUGUUUCUCUCCUUUAACUCCCCUUUUCCUUUUCUUUCUUAGUUGAUCAAAUAUUAAUGGUCAUUACUUUCUUGCUUUGCAUGAACCCGCUUGAGAGUCCAAACGAACUUUUUCCCUUGCGUUUCGUACUGGGCCAUGGAGGCCCAUCCUUUAGGAGACUUUUAAAAGCAAAUUUCAUGGCAUACAGAUACAAGAAGUCAAAAGAGGAAUAAUGGGUUAAAAUCCCAUACUUAAAGCGAUGAUGAAGCUCGAGCCUCAUUUUAGUUUCUUUAUUUAAUGUCAUUAUCUACCUAUUGUUGUCAUUUUAUUAUCAUUUAUUUCCUCUUUUUUCUGUCAUUAUUCAUUCAUUUGGGCCUCGAAGUCAAACUUGUAAUUAAUACAGGUGAAGCGCAACUCGAGCUAAAGCCUCGAAAACAUAGAAUUAGGACAAGUGAAAAUGAGUCAAAAACCAAACUAGAUUAGGACAGGGUCGACGGUUUGGGCUUAAAAUCCCAAAUCACCACUUCCCCUCUUUUCCCCUUUUCCUUUCAUUUACUUGUUUACUUGUCUCUUUGCGAACCUAGUUAAAUCCCUAACUAAGUCUCUAAAAAAUUGAUUUCGCGAAAACCUUUUCCUUAAUCAAUUACUUUUCCAACAAACCGAUUUUCCAAAGUUAAUCAAAAGAAAGUUUUCAAACAGUCUGGAUAACCG